This 1028-nucleotide long non-coding RNA is filed under the name Mustela putorius furo (domestic ferret). RNAcentral's name for it is "lncRNA (ENSMPUG00000026710.1)". The record is from RNAcentral. Lineage: Eukaryota; Metazoa; Chordata; Mammalia; Carnivora; Mustelidae.
UUAUCAGCUGACAUCCUAUAUAAUUCAUGCACUUAUUAUAUUUGUUAUUUCUUUCCUUUUUCUUUUCUUAGAUACAAGCUGCACGGGGCCAGACUCUUUCUUUGGUUCAUUGACAUAACUCCAGUACUUACCUGGACCACUGCCUGAUGACAUGUGAUUGGAAACUGAAGUAUAGAAGGUCACUUGUCCAGUGCCACUCAAUGAUUCUAGGUCCAUCAAGAGGAACCAUUUUUCAUACAGUGAUGAUUGAACUUUCUCAAAGAAGAAAUAGAUUAGCUCCUAAGAACAGUCAUAAAGGACCCAGCGCAUGGCAACUACUGAGACAAGUAAGUACUUCUAAAAUCACAUCUAGUAUAAGGAUGUUUCUACUCACAAUAUCUAGAAUGUUUUAUUCUGCUUCUAUGGGUUUUGUACUCUGCAUAAGGCUGCAAUGGGCACAAGUCUGAGCAUCACAUUUCUCUUUACAGAUACAUGUAUGUCACAAUUAAAUCUUGAUUUUAAAAGUCUAUUUUUGGAAAAGAGUUUACUUAUCAGCCAAUGAACUUCCCCACUUUCCUAUCAUAAUCGAUACUGAUUGGUCAUAUAUUCAAUAGGAUAUCUAUCAUCUAUCUAUCUAUCAUCUAUCUAUUUACAGGGACAGAGACAGAGAGACUUAUUUAUUAGGAGAAACUGGCUCCAUGACUAUGGAGACUGAGAAGUCUCACAGUCUGCCACCUGCAAGCUGCAAGCCAAUAGUAUAGUUCCAGUCCAAGCAUGAAGGUCUAGUCCAAGGACAGGAGAAGACUGGUGUUCCAGCUCAACAGCCAGGCACAAAGAAUGAAUUCUCCCUUCCUCUGCCUUUUUGUUCUAUUCUGGCUUUCAGUAGAUUGGCUGAUACCCACCCACACUGGGGAAGAACAUAAGCUGCUUUGCUCAGACUAUUGAUUCAAAUGCUAGUGUCUUUGGGCAAUGCCCUCGCAAACACAUCCAGAAAUAAUGUUAAAUCAAAAAUCUGGGCACCCUGUGACCCAGUCAAAUUGACACAUAAA